CCUACGGGUGGCUGCAGUGGGGAAUAUUGGACAAUGGGGGCAACCCUGAUCCAGCCAUGCCGCGUGUGUGAAGAAGGCCCUCGGGUUGUAAAGCACUUUCAGUGAGGAAGAACGCCUGGUGGUUAAUACCCAUCAGGAAAGACAUCACUCACAGAAGAAGCACCGGCUAACUCCGUGCCAGCAGCCGCGGUAAUACGGAGGGUGCGAGCGUUAAUCGGAAUUACUGGGCGUAAAGCGCGCGUAGGUGGCUUGAUAAGCCGGUUGUGAAAGCCCCGGGCUCAUCCUGGGAACGGCAUCCGGAACUGUCAAGCUAGAGUGCAGGAGAGGAAGGUAGAAUUCCCGGUGUAGCGGUGAAAUGCGUAGAGAUCGGGAGGAAUACCAGUGGCGAAGGCGGCCUUCUGGACUGACACUGACACUGAGGUGCGAAAGCGUGGGUAGCAAACAGGAUUAGAUACCCCGGUAGUC
RNAcentral lists this ribosomal RNA (465 nucleotides) under Vreelandella stevensii. RNAcentral describes it as "partial 16S ribosomal RNA". It matches the Rfam family "Bacterial small subunit ribosomal RNA", at positions 338 to 795 of the family's 1533-position model. Lineage: Bacteria; Pseudomonadati; Pseudomonadota; Gammaproteobacteria; Oceanospirillales; Halomonadaceae. The record is from RNAcentral.